CUAACGAAACUACGGGAAAUUUAGCAAACAUUGUUCAAACCGUAGGUUUUGAACUGGUUUGCUAAAUUUCUAUCUGGUAUCGCUAGGUAACAAU
Molecule: microRNA precursor, 94 nt
Filed under: Brugia malayi
Lineage: Eukaryota; Metazoa; Nematoda; Chromadorea; Rhabditida; Onchocercidae
Description: microRNA bma-mir-9523 precursor (bma-mir-9523-1)
Source: miRBase by way of RNAcentral